This 121-nucleotide ribosomal RNA is filed under the name Patulibacter medicamentivorans. Lineage: Bacteria; Bacillati; Actinomycetota; Thermoleophilia; Solirubrobacterales; Patulibacteraceae. The record is from RNAcentral.
UUUCCGGUGGUUAUGGCGAGGGGGAAACACCUCUUCCCUUUCCGAACAGAGCAGUUAAGCCCCUCAGCGCCGAUGGUACUUGGCCCGCAAGGGCCUGGGAGAGUAGGACGCCGCCGGAUUA